CCUACGGGAGGCAGCAGUGAGGAAUAUUGGUCAAUGGGCGCGAGUCUGAACCAGCCAAGUAGCGUGCAGGAUGACUGCCCUACGGGUUGUAAACUUCUUUUAUAAAGGAAUAAAGUGAGGCUCGUGUGCCUUUUUGUAUGUACUUUAUGAAUAAGGAUCGGCUAACUCUGUGCUAGCAGCCGCGGUAAUACGGAGGAUCCGAGCGUUAUCCGGAUUGAUUGGGUUUAAAGGGAGCGUAGAUGGGUUGUUAAGUCAGUUGUGAAAGUUUGCGGCUCAACCGUAAAAUUGCAAUUGAUACUGGCAGUCGUGAGUACAGUUGAGGUAGGCGGAAUUCGUGGUGUAGCGGUGAAAUGCUUAGAUAUCACGAAGAACUCCGAUUGCGAAGGCAGCUUACUAAGCUGCCACUGACAUUGAUGCUCGAAAGUGUGGGUAUCAAACAGGAUUAGAUACCCGUGUAGUC
This 460-nucleotide ribosomal RNA is filed under the name uncultured bacterium. RNAcentral describes it as "partial 16S ribosomal RNA". It matches the Rfam family "Bacterial small subunit ribosomal RNA", at positions 338 to 795 of the family's 1533-position model. The record is from RNAcentral.